AUGGAUUUCAAUAUUUAUUGGUAUGAGGACGGCGACAUUUUCCUUGGAUUUGAUGAUCCUGGGUAACGUCCCGCAUGCCGCACACAUCAUCACCCAAUUGGGACCAGGAAUCGCCAGCGUUGGCUGGCUGUUCGACAUCGGACCAGUGAUCGCCAGUCAUUUCGUCGUCGGUGGUGGCAGGUAGUUCUCCGGAACCCAAGUCCUUCUACGACUUCCAGAAGGUUGCAACAGCCGGUCCAACGUGUCCGAAGGAUCAUCGUCGUCAUCAUUGCAUCAGUGUACAGCUCGGUUUCAU
Ornithodoros turicata is the source of this 295-nucleotide long non-coding RNA. RefSeq lists it as uncharacterized. The transcript is spliced from 4 exons. NCBI's taxonomy places the organism in Eukaryota, Metazoa, Arthropoda, Arachnida, Ixodida, Argasidae. The record is from RefSeq and is a predicted model, not a curated record.